GGCCCUGUAUCCCAACUGGUAGAGGAACUGGAUUCAAAACUCAGUAGUUGUGGGUUCGACUCCCACUGGGGCCA
Molecule: transfer RNA, 74 nt
Filed under: Spirochaetota bacterium
Lineage: Bacteria; Pseudomonadati; Spirochaetota
Description: Spirochaetes bacterium tRNA-Leu
Rfam family: tRNA
About the family: Transfer RNA (tRNA) molecules are approximately 80 nucleotides in length.
Source: RNAcentral